Molecule: non-coding RNA, 207 nt
Organism: Oryza glaberrima (African rice)
Lineage: Eukaryota; Viridiplantae; Streptophyta; Magnoliopsida; Poales; Poaceae
Source: Rfam
AAUAAGUGUAGUUUUAUACUAUUCACGUUUAACAUUUGACCGUUCGUCUUAUUUGAAAAUUUUUUAUGAUUAAUAUUUUUGUUGCUAUUAAAUGAUAAACAUGAAUAGUACUUUAUGCGUGACUAAAUAUUUUUAAUUUUUUUAUAAAUGUUUUAAAUAAGACAGAUGGUCAAAUGUUAGGCACGGAUAUCUACAGCUACACUUGGU